This 709-nucleotide ribosomal RNA is filed under the name uncultured bacterium. RNAcentral describes it as "bacterial SSU rRNA". It matches the Rfam family "Bacterial small subunit ribosomal RNA", at positions 55 to 745 of the family's 1533-position model. The record is from RNAcentral.
UACGCAGUUUCUUCAUCGAGUGCUUGCACUCACCGAAGAAACUGACCCCUUAAAGGGUGAGUAACACGUGGGUAACCUGCCCAAAAGAGGCCUAUAACACUUGGAAACAGGUGCUAAUACCGCAUAACAACAAAAACCGCCUGGUUUUUGUUUAAAAGAUGGUUUCGGCUAUCACUUUUGGAUGGACCCGCGGCGUAUUAGCUAGUUGGUAAGGUAAUGGCUUACCAAGGCAGUGAUACGUAGCCGAACUGAGAGGUUGAUCGGCCACAUUGGGACUGAGACACGGCCCAAACUCCUACGGGAGGCAGCAGUAGGGAAUCUUCCACAAUGGACGCAAGUCUGAUGGAGCAACGCCGCGUGAGUGAAGAAGGUUUUCGGAUCGUAAAACUCUGUUGUUAGAGAAGAACGUGUGUGAGAGUAACUGUUCAUGCAGUGACGGUACCUAACCAGAAAGCCACGGCUAACUACGUGCCAGCAGCCGCGGUAAUACGUAGGUGGCAAGCGUUGUCCGGAUUUAUUGGGCGUAAAGGGAACGCAGGCGGUCUUUUAAGUCUGAUGUGAAAGCCUUCGGCUUAACCGAAGUCGUGCAUUGGAAACUGGGAGACUUGAGUGCAGAAGAGGAGAGUGGAACUCCAUGUGUAGCGGUGAAAUGCGUAGAUAUAUGGAAGAACACCAGUGGCGAAAGCGGCUCUCUGGUCUGUAACUGACG